This 273-nucleotide ribosomal RNA is filed under the name uncultured Desulfobacterium sp. RNAcentral's name for it is "partial 16S ribosomal RNA". It matches the Rfam family "Bacterial small subunit ribosomal RNA", at positions 1111 to 1382 of the family's 1533-position model. The record is from RNAcentral. Lineage: Bacteria; Pseudomonadati; Thermodesulfobacteriota; Desulfobacteria; Desulfobacterales; Desulfobacteriaceae.
CUAGUUGCCAGCGAUUCGGUCGGGGACGUCUAGAGAUACUGCCCCGGUUAACCGGGGAGGAAGGUGGGGAGUGACGUCAAGUCCUCAUGGCCCUUAUGCCCAGGGCUACACACGUGCUACAAUGGGCGGUACAAGGGUAGCGAUGCCGCGAGGCGAAGCCAAUCCCAAAAAGCCGUCCUCAGUUCGGAUUGGAGUCUGCAACUCGACUCCAUGAAGCCGGAAUCGCUAGUAAUCGCGGAUCAGCAUGCCGCGGUGAAUACGUUCCCGGGCCUU